Molecule: ribosomal RNA, 237 nt
Filed under: uncultured bacterium
Lineage: Bacteria
Description: partial 16S ribosomal RNA
Rfam family: Bacterial small subunit ribosomal RNA
Source: RNAcentral
GUUAAUGGGAAUUACUGGGCGUAAAGCGUGCGCAGGCGGUUCGUUAAGUUCGUUGUGAAAGCCCCGGGCUCAACCUGGGAACUGCAAUGGAAACUGGCGGGCUUGAGUGCGGCAGAGGGGGGUGGAAUUCCGCGUGUAGCAGUGAAAUGCGUAGAGAUGCGGAGGAACACCGAUGGCGAAGGCAGCCCCCUGGGCCGACACUGACGCUCAGGCACGAAAGCGUGGGGAGCAAACAGG